UAUGUUCCACAAGGCCAAGACUAUUUAUUAUUUGACCCCAUAAAAAUUUUGUUGACUUCUGUAUUUAUUUUAAACAUACCUAUUAUUCCAGGUUCAACUUGAAUCUUUCUAAGAAUUUUCUUGCAAUUUUCCCUGCUCACACUGCCCUCUGUAUCUGUAGAUUGUUGUUAAAAUUAUAGAUAUAUCCAUACCAUCCACAGCUUAACUAAACUUCAGGUAAGUUUUUUUUUUUCUUUCUUCAUUACCUUAUUCUUGCAGCAUUUAUAUGAGAAAACAAAAUUUUAAAUUCCUUCUCCUUCCCUAGGAUAUGUGAAAGUUUUACAACCCAGGAAUGUCUUGCUCAAGAACCUGGGAGACUUCCUUUCUCAAAGUAAUAAUUGAGAAAGAUAAGGCCCCUUUAUCCCAGUCUCUGUGCAGAGGUAGACACUAACUCCCAUUAGUGCUACUUAGAAGGCCACCCUUCAGGCUAAGGACCGGGAGUACUUUUUAAUUAGUUCACUCUGUGUUUGCAAAUCCACCCCCAUCUUUGUUUCAGAGGAGCUGAGUUCAAUCUCUUGCAGUCAUCUUUAAUAAUCUUGACCUUCAGCAAAUUGUGCUUGCAUUUUUUGUUUGUUUGUUUGUUUAUUUGUUUUAGGCUAUACCCUAGGCCUAUGGAAGUUCUAAGGCUAGGGGUUGAAUUGGGCACAGCUGCGGGCCACAGCCACAGCCAUAGCAAUGAGGAGCCAAGCCUCCUCUGUGACCUCUCACAGCAACGUUGAAUCCUUAAGCCACUGAGGGAGGCCAGAGAUUGAACCUGCAUCCUGAUGGAUAGUAGUCAGAUUGGUUUCCACUGAGCUGCUACAGGAACUCCUAGCACAAAGUUUUGGAUAAAGUUUUCCUUGCCAAGGUAAUUCUAUCUAGUGCAAUACUUGUUUGAAACAUCUGUGACUCUUUUCUAUCAAAUAAAAGUCUUACUCUCAAAAUCCAUAGUGAUGGCUGCCUUAGUGAGCUUGGACUGCUACAACAGAAUACACUGCAUGGGGUGGCUUACACAAUAGUUAUUUAUUUCUCAUAUUUCUAACAGUUAAACAUUCAAGAUCAGGUGGAACAAAGUCAGGUUCUGAGGAAUGCCAUGUUUCUGAUUUACACAGGGUGGGUCAUUUUUCUCAUGCAUCCUCACAUGACAACAGAAGAGGAAAAGGGUAGAGCUCUUUUCUUCCUAGAGGGACUCCACCCUCAUAAACUAAUUGCCCCCCAAAGGCCCCAGCUCCCAGUACCAUCCCUCUGGAGGUUGGUGUUCCAAUAUAGGAUACAGUAUGGGGCAUCACAAAUUUGCAGUCCACAAGCAUAGUAGCUUACACUAUUUAGAGUCAGUGGGAUUUGGUUAGACUCUUCAUGAUACUCUGUGUGUAAGAGUGAUAGUCUCCAAGUUGGCCUUAUUUCAUCACUUUUAUGUAUUUACCUUGAUUCAUUAUGAUAAAUAGUCACCAACUAUAAAAACAGUUGUUGGAUCAAAGAUAGGAGGAUUUUCAAAAGAAAAAAAUAUGACCGGGUCAAAGAAAUGCCAAUCAGGUUGGCAUUUGAAUCUAUAUCAAAACCCGGUCAAUUCUCCACUUCUAAAAUCAACAAUAGCACAUUUACAGAUUUCUUUUAAUCACAAACUCAUUUAAUGUGUGUUAACUAACAUUUACUGAGUAUGGCCCUCUUUCCCAGCAAACACCUACAAGUUCAUUAUUGGAUAAAGAGGCACAUGGUAAACCUAAUGUGUUUAAGUGGAUGAAUCAUUAGUGCCCCAUCAUUAUCACAUCCAAAAUGUUCUGAGGUUUUUAUUUGAGACAUAAAUAACCACGUGUGCUUUACAACACCUUUUAUGAAUGGACUGGGAUAUUUCUGGCUGUACAUAACUUCUGGGGAAAAAGUCCUUUCCUUUUCCUGAAAAGGGAUGGUGGGGCCGCUUACGCAGCGCUGGAAGUAAGGACAGGGGUUUCCUGCGGAUCCCAGGCCUGCAGCCUGGCCUUGCACCAUCCGAGCACCACGCUUGGCCAAACAUUCCCCCUGCAGAGGCAGGGGCUGCUCCCAAGUGUUCGCAUCCCCCUGCGAUGGGUGGCGGGGGCUCUGGCCACCUCCCUGUGGGGCCUGUGUAAGCUGGGCCAGCUUGGCCAUGCAAACCGCUGCCACUAGAGGGCAGUGCGGCACCAUGCUGACUGGACUCAGGCUGCCAGCUGAUCUUUGGGAGGGGUGCUUGGGCAGGGCACCGAGCACUAGAGCACCACGUUCCUAGCGCGAUGGGCCCUGGCAUUGUGCCACAGUGUCUUUUCCACGGCGAUGGUGGUUGGCUCCGUGGAGGGGCCUGCUGGCACCAUCACCAAGGAGACUGGAAGGGUGAGGGGGUGGGCGCUCUCCAGCGGGGAUUCUGGGUCCCAGAGGACCCCUCGGCGACAUCACUGGCCACAUUCCCUGUGGGGCCAAGCUGCGGGGGAGCCUGGCAGGAACAAGUAGGGUGGGGGGCGAUGGCACACCUAGAAAUGAUCAUGCUAAGUGAAGUCAAACAUGCAAUGAGACAUCAUCAAAUGGAUUCACUGACAUGUGGAAUCCAAAAAAGGACAGGAGGAGACAGUUUUGGGGGGUGGCGGGAUGUGCCUGGGUUGUGGGAUGGAAAUCCUGGUGACAUUAGCUUGUGAUGAUCAUUAUACAACUACAGAUGUGAUAUAUUCAUUCGAUAAUUUUUAAAAAAUGAAAAGAAAAUUAACACACCAAGUAAGAAAAGCCAAAAGAUUAUAUCAAUAAAUGUAGGAAAUGCCUCUGACGAAAUGCAACAUCAACUGAGAGUAGAAGGAAAUUUCCCUAACCUAAUAAAGAACAUGUAUUUAAAAAACUAC
This 2858-nucleotide long non-coding RNA is filed under the name Sus scrofa domesticus (domestic pig). RNAcentral describes it as "lncRNA (ENSUODG00005007099.1)". Lineage: Eukaryota; Metazoa; Chordata; Mammalia; Artiodactyla; Suidae. The record is from RNAcentral.